UCUUCCUCUUCCCAUCACACAUCUUCUUUUUUUCACCAAACUUUCUCUCUCUAGAAGUUUAAGUAAUCUCUGGUAGUGAUUUUCUCUGACGGAAUACAACCCCGCUGAGAGGGGGUGAUUUGUACCAUCUGGCUCAAUGUUUUCCUUUUCUCUCUCUACAUCUCCAAGGUUUAAUGUUGUUAUUUCAGCUCAUUCCUCUCAUCUUCCUCAUUGUUUUCACCUCCUCACCAUGGGUUUGAGACCACUUCAGCUUUCUCUUCGAUGUAGUCAUUAUAGCCCAUUCUAAAGUCUCAACCGUCACAGUCUUCACCAUGGGUUUGUGGUGAUUGCAAAACAACAAUUGAGACUUGAUACAAAGUGCUGAUGGACGACUAAAGCACUUAAAGCAAUUUCGAGACCACAAUUCAAUGGGUAUCCUUCAUCACAAUCUAUGAAUAACACCGAUUGGCUCCAACAUUUACAAAUCGAGAAUUAAAUUCUUAUUAAAGCAGCCACACCCUGCAAUGUAUUUGGCUGGAUUAUAGAGAGCUUCCAGCCAUCAGGCAAGUUAGUAAUUUUGCUAUUAUUAUUAGUUUGUUUUACAUAGCAUUUGUUUAGUAAUUUAUUAUACAUACCAUUUAUUUUGUUAUACAUAGCCAUCAAGCAAGUUAAGUAAUUUGUUAUACAUAGCAUUUGUUUUGUUGUCAUUGGUAUAUGUCUGAAUGAAGGUUACAAUUACAGUCAAUAGUUCUUCAAGAAGAGAAAACACAGGUUUAAUUGCUUUAUUACAUUUAUGUUAUGGAUUCUUACAAUUUGUAUUUGAAGGUUUGCCUUUGUGGUGUACUAAAUAACUAUGUAUAUAUUUGGAUUGGUUGAUUGGCAAAACUAUUUUAUUUGUUUGACUUAAUUGCAUUUCCAUUUUUGUUUUUUGUUUUUAAUUUGCUUAAUAGGCUCACAUUAGAAAGCAUGAGGAAGAAGUAAAACUUUUUCAAAACCUAUCGCAUCCAAACAUUGAGUUAGAGUAGUGGAGUUUAUUGUUUGUUUUCUCACAUGACAAUGGACAUAACUAAGAUGAAGGAUGCGUCAAGUCCAUGGAGGGAGUGUUGGUGAACAUAGUUCUAAAGCGAGACAAUUUUAUAUGACAAUGUCACUUAAGCUAAAAUGUCUAUUGGUCACAUAUAGGAGAUGGUUUUGAAUUGGUUAUCUCUUUUCAAUGUUAAUUAACUCUCAAUUACA
Long non-coding RNA from Camellia sinensis, 1215 nucleotides. RefSeq lists it as uncharacterized. NCBI's taxonomy places the organism in Eukaryota, Viridiplantae, Streptophyta, Magnoliopsida, Ericales, Theaceae. The record is from RefSeq and is a predicted model, not a curated record.